Molecule: long non-coding RNA, 236 nt
Filed under: Elaeis guineensis (African oil palm)
Lineage: Eukaryota; Viridiplantae; Streptophyta; Magnoliopsida; Arecales; Arecaceae
Description: long non-coding RNA (EGUI_LNC065399)
Source: RNAcentral
CAAGGUGUAGAAGUUGAAUGCAAGAAUGCAAGAAGAUAAAAAAAUUUAAAAGAAGACCAAGUAAGCAUAAUACAAAUAAAAAGAUUUAUAGUGGUUCGAUGCCAAUCUUGCACCUACGUCCACUCUCUAAGCUCCUACUUGGGAAUUCAAAUCUACUAAACCGUAUUCAACCCAAAUACAAUGUCGGAACCUCCGACUCUAGCUAUUCCAAGCUAGAACACUUAUUUCUCGGGUAC